RNAcentral lists this ribosomal RNA (498 nucleotides) under uncultured bacterium. Its description in RNAcentral is "bacterial SSU rRNA". It matches the Rfam family "Bacterial small subunit ribosomal RNA", at positions 501 to 1000 of the family's 1533-position model. The record is from RNAcentral.
CUACGUGCCAGCAGCCGCGGUAAUACGGAGGGUGCGAGCGUUAAUCGGAAUAACUGGGCGUAAAGGGCACGCAGGCGGUGACUUAAGUGAGGUGUGAAAGCCCCGGGCUUAACCUGGGAAUUGCAUUUCAUACUGGGUCGCUAGAGUACUUUAGGGAGGGGUAGAAUUCCACGUGUAGCGGUGAAAUGCGUAGAGAUGUGGAGGAAUACCGAAGGCGAAGGCAGCCCCUUGGGAAUGUACUGACGCUCAUGUGCGAAAGCGUGGGGAGCAAACAGGAUUAGAUACCCUGGUAGUCCACGCUGUAAACGAUGUCGAUUUGGGGGUUGAGCUUUAAGUUUGGCGCCCGUAGCUAACGUGAUAAAUCGACCGCCUGGGGAGUACGGCCGCAAGGUUAAAACUCAAAUGAAUUGACGGGGGCCCGCACAAGCGGUGGAGCAUGUGGUUUAAUUCGAUGCAACGCGAAGAACCUUACCUACUCUUGACAUCCAGAGAACAUUC